UAGACCUCAAAUCAGGUAGGACUACCCGCUGAACUUAA
Molecule: ribosomal RNA, 38 nt
Filed under: Rhodotorula toruloides
Lineage: Eukaryota; Fungi; Basidiomycota; Microbotryomycetes; Sporidiobolales; Sporidiobolaceae
Description: partial 28S ribosomal RNA
Source: RNAcentral